UGGCUCACAAACCUAAGAAUCAUUCUUAAUUUUAAAAAAUUAAGUAAUAUUCUCUAUCAGACUAUUCUAAUGUUAAUAGUCUGUCCAACCCAAAGUCAACAUGCUAUACUUGAUGAGUGGAUGGACAAUAACAAUUAAGAUAGGUGCUAAAGGUUGAAGUCCAUGUUAGAUGAACUCCAACAUAUGCAUGAGCAUAUGUUCACUACCAAUGACAUAUUGAUUCAUCUACAAGUAUUGUGAG
This 241-nucleotide long non-coding RNA is filed under the name Elaeis guineensis (African oil palm). RNAcentral describes it as "long non-coding RNA (EGUI_LNC055768)". Lineage: Eukaryota; Viridiplantae; Streptophyta; Magnoliopsida; Arecales; Arecaceae. The record is from RNAcentral.